AUGGAGUACUAUCAUAUUGCCAAGAAGAUGUUUAAUAGUGAGGAUGAAGGUUAUACAUUCUAUAACAAAUAUGGUCUUGAGAAAGGUUUUAGUGUCCGGAGAAGCUAUGUCGAGUGGGAUGGAUCCAACUGCCAUAUAAUUUUAAGGAAAUUUGUGUGUAUUCGUGAAGGGGUUCAUGAAGAGAAGCACAUGAAGUGGAAGAUGGAAGAUAGAAAGAGGAGGCACGGAGUAUAA
Molecule: ribosomal RNA, 234 nt
Filed under: Triticum aestivum (bread wheat)
Lineage: Eukaryota; Viridiplantae; Streptophyta; Magnoliopsida; Poales; Poaceae
Description: partial small subunit ribosomal RNA
Source: RNAcentral